This 460-nucleotide ribosomal RNA is filed under the name uncultured bacterium. Its description in RNAcentral is "partial 16S ribosomal RNA". It matches the Rfam family "Bacterial small subunit ribosomal RNA", at positions 338 to 795 of the family's 1533-position model. The record is from RNAcentral.
CCUACGGGAGGCAGCAGUGAGGAAUAUUGGUCAAUGGCCGAGAGUCUGAACCAGCCAAGUAGCGUGAAGGAUGACUGCCCUAUGGGUUGUAAACUUCUUUUAUCUGGGAAUAAAAUGUUCACCGUUUGCCAUUUUGUAUGUACCAUAUGAAUAAGGAUCGGCUAACUCCGUGCCAGCAGCCCCGGUAAUACGGAGGAUCCGAGCGUUAUCCGGAUUUAUUGGUUUUAAAGGGAGCGUAGGUGGAUUGUAAAGUCAGUUGUGAAAGUUUGCGGCUCAACCGUAAAAUUGCAGUUGAAACUGGCAGUCUUGAGUACAGGAGAGGUGGGCGGAAUUCGUGGUGUAGCGGGGAAAUGCUUAGAUAUCACGAAGAACCCCGAUUGCGAAGGCAGCUCACUGGACUGCAAAUGACACUGAGGCUCGAAAGUGUGGGUAUCAAACAGGAUUAGAUACCCCUGUAGUC